Mobula hypostoma (lesser devil ray) is the source of this 1979-nucleotide long non-coding RNA. RefSeq lists it as uncharacterized. NCBI's taxonomy places the organism in Eukaryota, Metazoa, Chordata, Chondrichthyes, Myliobatiformes, Myliobatidae. The record is from RefSeq and is a predicted model, not a curated record. The transcript has 5 exons.
UGCACGAGCCAUCGCCAGCUCCCACAGACCCCCAUGACCCUGUGAUUUCAGUCUGUGAGGCCGAGGUGACAGCAUCCUUCAGGAGGGCAGGCUUUCCACGGAAAGCUUCGGUAGAGACCUGUGCUGAUCACUGAGAUUGUUAACCUCUCGCUUUGGCAGUCUGAGGUACCCACCUGCUUCAGAAUCUCAGGGUUGCAUACGGUAACAAAUGGAAGAACUCAGCAGGUCAGGCAGCAACCAUAGAGGGAAAUGAGUAGUCACAUUUCGACCCAAGACCAUCCAAAAUCUCCAGCAUCUGCAGGUGUUUUGUUUUUGACAAGAUCUGUUUGGAUUGCUUGCAAAAAAUAAUUUGUCCUCGGUACAUGGGACAAGAACCAGCGCCAGUAACAAAACUGGGUGUGCCUGCUUUCUGUGGAGAUGCUGAUCGACCACAGAAUUUCUCCUGCAUAUUGUUCGCCGUUCCAGAAUGAAGCAUCUGCUAUCUCUAGCGUCCCUCCUAAAGAAGAAAGAAGAAGAAGAAGAAGAAGAAGAAGAAAGACCUUAACUCCGAGUGGAGUCAUUAGGACACCGUCAUGACGGCGUUUUUUUAGCAGGCUUUCAUAUUUUUAUGAGGCUGAGUUGCUAGCUCGACGCUCAACCCAGCACGGGUGGAAAGCAUGCAAGGGAGCCGGCUGGAUUCGUACUCGGGAGCCUUCACUCCGAAGUCCGGCGCUGAUGCCACUAUGCCACUGUGUAAACUAUAUCUACACAGUUUGUUGUUUUUUUGCACAUUGGUUGUUUAUCUGCCUUGUUGUGUACAGUUUUUCAUUGAUUCUACUGUUUUCCUUCGUAUCUACUGUGAAUGCCCGCAAGAAAAUGACUCUCAGUGUGGUAUGUGGUGAUUACAUACAAUUCAAGGUUCAAAAAUCAAAGUAAAUUCUAUCGUCAAAGUACACGUAUGUCACUAUAUACAACACUGAGAUUCAUUUUCUUGUGGGCAUACUCAGCUAGUCUAUAGAACAGUAACUAUAACAGGAUCAAUGACGGAUCAACCGGAGUGCAGAAGCCAGCAAACUGUGCAAGUGCAAAUUUAAAAAAAAAACAAUAAGUAACAAGAACAUGAGAUGAAUAGUCCUUGAGAGAGAGAUUAUUGGUGUAGGAAUCUUUCAAUGAUGAGAUAAGAAAGUGUAGUUGUCACCUUUUAUUCAAGAGCCUGAUGGUUGAGAGAUAGGCUCUUGAAUAAAAGGUGAUUACUACACCCAAUUGUCCCAUCGUUGAGAUGUUCUUACACCAAUGUACUUUGGUAAUAAAUUUAUUUUGAACUUUGAACUAUUGAACAUGACUGUAGGAGACAGGAGCUGACCUUAUAUAGAUAAAUAAAAUCGUGAAGGGUGUAGAUAAAUUUGAUGGUCUUGGUAUUUUGUGUGUUGUUUGUGAUUUCUAGCAUCUGAAGAAUCUAGAGUUUAUCAAUGGAUAGGGUGUUGGAAGCUAGCAUGAACCCAAAGGAAUGAAUGGCCAAUACAUUUCAGGACAUAUGCUAGUGAACCUCCAAGUGAACCACAACCUUGUCAUAGGGUUUGGAGGCUUUCAUGCCUUGAUGACCUAUGAGAGCUAUGCUGGCUGGAGUCAGGGCUUUAUGCUUUGGCUCUUGGCACAAUCACUCAUGCUAAGCAGGUCAAAGGUCAGAGGCCAGACUAAGAGUGGCCCCACUGGUCCUCCAGGUUCAGGGGUUCAGCUCAGGGCUAACAAUGCUGACAGGUCCAAAAAUAUUGUUGUGGAAACGGCAAUGAACAAUCUUUCUCUUACUGUAUGUGAUGGUAUGGACCUUCCUUGCUGCCCUAAACACCAGUGGCAUAAUGAGCGAACUGCUGCCAGUGAUAUUAAACUUGAUUCUGAUUCAUAUUCUGAUUUUUCUAUGCCUGAGUAACUGUUUGCAGAACAAAUAUAAAUGUAUAAUUGAGUAUAAGCUUAGAUAAAUGAAUCUUUUAUAUUAAAGUAAA